GGAACCUAUAGAAACCAAAAAUAUAAAAAAUAAAGAACACCCGCAUUGAUUGAUCAACGCCAUGAGUACAUUACAGAGAUCAUCAUGUUCAUUCCGGAGGCAGGGAUCUUCCGGCCGAAUCUGGGAUAACCGACUUCCGAUGACGGAAAUAAAAGCCACCGGUGGAGUCAAUUCAAAUCUUCCUGUUUCCCCUCCACCUGAGGCUAUGGUGCAUUCUCCUACCAAUUCAGCUUCAGAAACCAAGUCCCAAAGGUGUGCAUUGGUAUCGAUUUUUGGCCGUUGUUUGAAAUCGCCAGCUUCUUAGAGGUCUCAAUUUCUUCUGGGUACGUUUGAU
RNAcentral lists this long non-coding RNA (334 nucleotides) under Olea europaea subsp. europaea. The record is from RNAcentral. Lineage: Eukaryota; Viridiplantae; Streptophyta; Magnoliopsida; Lamiales; Oleaceae.